RNAcentral lists this ribosomal RNA (253 nucleotides) under uncultured bacterium. RNAcentral describes it as "partial 16S ribosomal RNA". It matches the Rfam family "Bacterial small subunit ribosomal RNA", at positions 524 to 776 of the family's 1533-position model. The record is from RNAcentral.
UACAGAGGUCUCAAGCGUUGUUCGGAUUCAUUGGGCGUAAAGGGUGCGUAGGUGGCGCCGUAAGUCAGGUGUGAAAUUUCGGAGCUUAACUCCGAAACUGCAUUUGAUACUGCGGUGCUUGAGGACUGGAGAGGAGACUGGAAUUUACGGUGUAGCAGUGAAAUGCGUAGAGAUCGUAAGGAAGACCAGUGGCGAAGGCGGGUCUCUGGACAGUUCCUGACACUGAGGCACGAUGGCCAGGGGAGCAAACGGG